GGAGGAUUAGCCUAAUUGGUAAGGCAGCGGUCUUGAAAACCGCCGUCCGCAAGGACUUGGGGGUUCGAGUCCCUCAUCCUCCG
Transfer RNA from Caldithrix abyssi DSM 13497, 83 nucleotides. It matches the Rfam family "tRNA". Rfam says of the family: Transfer RNA (tRNA) molecules are approximately 80 nucleotides in length. Their secondary structure includes four short double-helical elements and three loops (D, anti-codon, and T loops). Further hydrogen bonds mediate the characteristic L-shaped molecular structure. tRNAs have two regions of fundamental functional importance: the anti-codon, which is responsible for specific mRNA codon recognition, and the 3' end, to which the tRNAs corresponding amino acid is attached (by aminoacyl-tRNA synthetases). tRNAs cope with the degeneracy of the genetic code in two manners: having more than one tRNA (with a specific anti-codon) for a particular amino acid; and 'wobble' base-pairing, i.e. permitting non-standard base-pairing at the 3rd anti-codon position. The record is from Rfam. Lineage: Bacteria; Pseudomonadati; Calditrichota; Calditrichia; Calditrichales; Calditrichaceae.